This 348-nucleotide long non-coding RNA is filed under the name Mus pahari (shrew mouse). RNAcentral describes it as "lncRNA (MGP_PahariEiJ_G0003360.1)". The record is from RNAcentral. Lineage: Eukaryota; Metazoa; Chordata; Mammalia; Rodentia; Muridae.
GGCGGGGGAUCCCUGAAGUUCACCAAGAUCGAACGCCUUGGCUGCCCGGAACUUCCCAGAACACGGGGUGGCCUGAACCGCCAAGGGAGGCUGCUUUCACGACGUUUUCACGACACCCAGCCGCUCUGCUCACCGGCGCCCCCGGGCGGCAGCAGCGAGCACGAGCAGCUAAGGCCCGCAGGUAUAGAAACCCAUGGACAGGGGAAACCUGCUUAUUCUAAGACGUCUGAGCAAGAAACAAAUCAGUUCACUGUUCUACCUACCAUUUUGUUAUAGCACUGAGCUUGAACCCAGGGCCUUGAAUCCAGGUCGGGCAAGAACCAAACCAGUGAAAGACCACCACGUGGU